AAUGAACGCUGGCGGCGUGCUUAACACAUGCAAGUCGAACGAGGCCAGGGGGGCAACUCCCUGAGUCGAGUGGCGGACGGGUGAGUAACACGUGGGUAACCUGCCCGGAAGUGGGGAAUACCUCGGGGAAACUCGAGCUAAUACCGCAUGACACCGUUGGGACGAGAGUCCCGAUGAUCAAAGCGGGGUCGCAAGAUCUCGCGCUACCGGAUGGGCCCGCGCCCGAUUAGCUAGUUGGUGGGGAACGGCUCACCAAGGCGACGAUCGGUAACCGGCCUGAGAGGGCGAUCGGUCACACCGGAACUGAGACACGGUCCGGACUCCUACGGGAGGCAGCAGUGGGGAAUCUUGCGCAAUGGGCGAAAGCCUGGCGCAGCAACGCCGCGUGGAGGAUGAAGGCCC
RNAcentral lists this ribosomal RNA (402 nucleotides) under uncultured bacterium. Its description in RNAcentral is "bacterial SSU rRNA". It matches the Rfam family "Bacterial small subunit ribosomal RNA", at positions 28 to 417 of the family's 1533-position model. The record is from RNAcentral.